Molecule: small RNA, 146 nt
Filed under: Sinorhizobium meliloti 2011
Lineage: Bacteria; Pseudomonadati; Pseudomonadota; Alphaproteobacteria; Hyphomicrobiales; Rhizobiaceae
Description: putative ncRNA
Source: RNAcentral
GAUCACGAGGCUUUUAGGUCGGGCCGCCCUAUGCGGGCGGAAAACCGCGCACACUUUUCCUCAUCCCCUCUAGGUCGAUCGAGGGACGGAGACGGCGCCGCGAGUCACCUUCUCCCCGUCAGCGGGGAGAAGGUGGCCGGCAGGCC